AGCGAACGCUGGCGGCAGGCUUAACACAUGCAAGUCGAGCGGGCACUUUCGGGUGUCAGCGGCGGACGGGUGAGUAACGCGUGGGAACGUGCCCUCUGGUUCGGAAUAACUCAGGGAAACUUGAGCUAAUACCGGAUACGCCCUUUUGGGGAAAGGCUUGCUGCCGGAGGAUCGGCCCGCGUCUGAUUAGCUAGUUGGUGAGGUAACGGCUCACCAAGGCGACGAUCAGUAGCUGGUCUGAGAGGAUGAUCAGCCACACUGGGACUGAGACACGGCCCAGACUCCUACGGGAGGCAGCAGUGGGGAAUAUUGGACAAUGGGCGCAAGCCUGAUCCAGCCAUGCCGCGUGAGUGAUGAAGGCCUUAGGGUUGUAAAGCUCUUUUAUCCGGGACGAUAAUGACGGUACCGGAGGAAUAAGCCCCGUCUAACUUCGUG
Molecule: ribosomal RNA, 435 nt
Filed under: uncultured bacterium
Lineage: Bacteria
Description: partial 16S ribosomal RNA
Rfam family: Bacterial small subunit ribosomal RNA
Source: RNAcentral